UAAGGUACGGAGCCGAAGCGAAAGCGAGUCUGAACAGGGCGCCAAGUCGGGGGGGGUAGACGCGAAACCGAGUGAUCUACCCUUGGCCAGGUUGAAGGUUGGGUAACACCAACUGGAGGACCGGAUGGGUAAGCGUUGAAAAGCUUUCCAAUGAGCUGAGGGUAGGGGUGAAAGGCUAAUCAAACUCGGAGAUAGCUCGUACUCCCCGAAAUGCAUUUAGGUGCAGCCUCUUUAUAGUAUAUCGUGAGGUAGAGCGACUGAUUGGAUGCGAGGGCUUCACCGCCUAUCAAGUCCAGAUAAACUCCGAAUGCGCGAUAUAUAUUUACAGGGAGUGAGGGCGCGGGUGCUAAGGUCCGUGUCCGAGAGGAGAAGAAUCCAGACCACCGGCUAAGGCCCCCAAAUGAUCGUUAAGUUGAACUAACGAGGUCGGAUCGCAGAGACAGCUAGGAUGUUGGCUUGGAAGCAGCCAUUCAUUUAAAGAGUGCGUAACAGCUCACUAGUCGAGCGAUCUGGCGUGGAUAAUAAUCGGGCAUAAACGAUCUGCCGAAGCCGUGGAUGUCGCAAGACAUGGUAGGGGAGCAUUCCAUGCGGCGUCGAAGAUGAGGGAUGACCCUUGUUGGAGCGCAUGGAAAAGCAAAUGUAGGUAUGAGUAACGAUAAGGGGGGCGAGAAACCCCCCCGCCGAAAGACCAAGGUUUCCUGAUCAACGCUAAUCGGAUCAGGGUGAGUCGGGACCUAAGGCAAAGCCGAACGGCGCCGCCGAUGGAAGAAUGGGUUAAUAUUCCCAUACUGCCUCAUGGAGUGACGUGGAGACGGAGAAGUGACAGUCCUGCCGGCUGACGGAAUAGCCGGUUGAAGGGUGUAGAUAUUGAUUCCCGUAGGCAAAUCCGCGGGGAGAGUCGAACCUGAGAGUAUACGGAGCGCUUGCGCGACGUAAUAUGGACGUAACCAUGCUCCCGAGAAAAUCCGCUAAACUUAUCCAUGCGGCACCCGUACCGUAAACGGACACACGUGGUCGGGUUGAGAAUACUGAGGCGCUCGAGUGAUUCACGGUUAAGGAACUAGGCAAAUUGACCCUGUAACUUCGGGAUAAAGGGUCCUCGUCGUAAGGCGAGGCGCAGAGAAUAGGUCCAGGCAACUGUUUAACAAAAACACAUGGCUGUGCUAAAUGGAAACAUGACGUAUACAGCCUGACACCUGCCCGGUGCCGGAAGGUUAAGAGGAGAUGUCAUCCGCGAGGAGAAGCGUUGAAUUGAAGCCCCGGUAAACGGCGGCCGUAACUAUAACGGUCCUAAGGUAGCGAAAUUCCUUGUCGGGUAAGUUCCGACCUGCACGAAUGGUGUAAUGAUCUGGACACUGUCUCAACCGUGAGCUCGGUGAAAUUGUAGUAUCGGUGAAGAUGCCGAUUACCCGCGAUGGGACGAAAAGACCCCGUGAACCUUUACUAUAGCUUUACAUUGAGUUUGGGCAGACGAUGUGUAGGAUAGGCCGGAGGCUUUGAAGCAGGUACGCCAGUAUUUGUGGAGCCGACGUUGAAAUACGGCCCUUCGGUUGUUUGAGUUCUAACUCCUAGUUAGGAGGACACUGUAUGGUGGGUAGUUUGACUGGGGUGGUCGCCUCCAAAAGCGUAACGGAGGCUUCUAAAGGUGCCCUCAGACCGAUUGGUAACCGGUCGCAGAGUGUAAUGGCAUAAGGGCGCUUGACUGGGAGACAUACAAGUCGAUCAGGUAGGAAACUAGAGCAUAGUGAUCCGGUGUUUCCGCAUGGAAGGGACAUCGCUCAAAGGAUAAAAGGUACUCCGGGGAUAACAGGCUGAUC
This 1817-nucleotide ribosomal RNA is filed under the name human gut metagenome. RNAcentral's name for it is "bacterial LSU rRNA". It matches the Rfam family "Bacterial large subunit ribosomal RNA", at positions 654 to 2487 of the family's 2925-position model. The record is from RNAcentral.